UAAAGUUGUAUCCACAAGCCCUCCUGUCAUGGAGAUCAAAUCCAAAUGUUCCUACGUUCGAGAAAUACGCUACUAACGAUCCUCGAAUUACGGAUAAAAUCAAGAGAGAAGAAUCAAGAGAGAAGAAUCAAGAGAGAAACAGAUUUGUACCCACAUCAUUUAUCAAUAAAGUUGUUGUUUCUUCAUAUUUUUAUUUGUAGUUGAAGUUUAUUUUCCAUGAAUUAAAUUAUGUUGGAAAUAAAUUGACACGCCCAAUGGGACCAAGUCUGCCUUCAUCUCUUCUCUCAUAAAUUAUACAUGUAAUUCUGUAGCCGCAAGGCAUAAAGAUGGAAGCUUUAUGGGUACUUCAAUACACUCGUCUUUGAGUUUCAUCAAGUCUACAGCCGACAAGCCUUGAAACAGGGGACAUUUGUAGACAUAAAAAUUUGUGGACUUUAUAAGAAAAUUCAAUUUCUGUUAGAGUUUUAAAAUUUAUGAGACUUUUCAAGAAGAAUUCAAAUUCUAUUAGAGUUCUUGGAGGCUACUCUAUCCAAAACCCUAAAUUAUGUCUAUAUAAAGGGGCAAAUAUCCUUUAAAAGAUAUCUCGAAAGUACCAAUAAAUUCAUAGGAUAUUCAUAUAGGGAUCAAAACCUCUUGAUAAUUAAAUACAUCAAGAAGAUCCACAAGCCCUCCUGUCAUGGAGGUCAAAUCCAAAUGUUCCUACGUUCGAGAAAUAUGACACUAACGGCCCUCAAAUUAUGGAGAAAAUCAAGAGAGAAUUAUGAAGAAAAUCAAAAGAGAAGACAGAUUUGUACCCACAUCAUUUAUCAAUAAAGUUGUUGUAUCAAGAAGAUCCACAAGCCCUCCUGUCAUGGAGAUCAAAUCCAAAUGUUCCUACGUUCGAAAAAUAUGUCACUAACGGUACCCACAUCAUUUAUCAAUAAAGUUGAUGUUUCUUUAUACUUUUAUCUGUGGUUGAAGUUUAUUUUCCAUGAAAUAAAAUAUAUUGGAAACAAAGUUCACAUAAAAUAAAUAAUUCUAACACAGUAUACAUAUACAUAUAUAACAACACCUACAAACGUUGCCGCUAGGUUUGACUAUACUCCCUCCAUUAAAAUCGAUGAAAGAGGUUGUUGGGGUUCUUACAGUAAUAGAGUAAUCAUUGGCUGAAUGCAGAGAGAAGCAACCAAACCUUUCAAUGAAAAUCCUAACCUCCAUGUUAGCCCAAAUCUUUCCCUUGUGAGCUUUUCGGUUAUAGCACCCCUUGAAGCUGUAACCACAGGCACCAUGGCACCAGAAAAUCUGGUGGCAUUACCCCACGAAGAUACUAAUCGGGUCGAAUAACCUCAGAUGCUGGAUUAAUCAGCUCAAAAAAGGAAGAAAAAUUGUCAGAAAUCAGCAUCGCCACUUUCAAGUCGUCCGACUAUACCGAGUUUGAAGCUGAAAGGACUAACUUUUGGAGGAAAAAUGUCAAAGGGACAAUGGCUCCAUUCUAUCGGGACCUAUUUGGUUUAUUUUUGCCCUGGGCUGAACUCCCUGAUCUUCCUUGUCCGUUUUAAUAACACUUUUGGCCGCUCACAUCAUCACCUCCUUCUUGCUAUUUGGCUUUAUUAGCUCAGCUGAGGUCUCUCUUUGAUCAUUCCUGUCGCAAGCAAGACGCGAAUAGAGCUGUCUUUCACCAGAGGAGAAUACUUCAUUGAAGUUCUAGAACAGGGGCGGAGGCUAUCAAUCCAAUUUCAUAAUUAGUUAGUACACUACUUAGUCGAAUAAUAAAAAGUUCUCUUUUUAAUCCUAUUUAAAUUCUGUCGGGUGGAUACAAUUAAACCCAACUAUCAUUGACUCAGGCUCUAACUCUUUUUUUUUCGUUUUCAUAUUGAACGGGAUCCGUAGUAAUCAAGAGGUUGUCCAGUAAGAAAG
RNAcentral lists this long non-coding RNA (1896 nucleotides) under Capsicum annuum. Its description in RNAcentral is "long non-coding RNA (CANN_LNC020410)". The record is from RNAcentral. Lineage: Eukaryota; Viridiplantae; Streptophyta; Magnoliopsida; Solanales; Solanaceae.